This 327-nucleotide ribosomal RNA is filed under the name uncultured eukaryote. RNAcentral describes it as "partial 18S ribosomal RNA". It matches the Rfam family "Eukaryotic small subunit ribosomal RNA", at positions 1470 to 1796 of the family's 1831-position model. The record is from RNAcentral.
CCCUUAGAUGUUCUGGGCCGCACGCGCGCUACACUGAUUCAUGCAACAAGUUUUGUCCUUGGCUGAUAGGCCUGGGUAAUCUUUGAACGUGAAUCGUGAUGGGGAUAGAUGAUUGCAAUUAUUCAUCUUCAACGAGGAAUUCCUAGUAAACGCAAGUCAUCAGCUUGCAUUGAUUACGUCCCUGCCCUUUGUACACACCGCCCGUCGCACCUACCGAUUGAAUGGUCCGGUGAAAUCUUCGGAUCUGAGAGAUGUCUGAUUAAUUUCGGACGCCUUUUGGAAAAGUUGUUUAAACCUUACCAUUUAGAGGAAGGUGAAGUCGAAACA